UGCGUAGGUGGUUGAAUAAGUUAGGUGUGAAAUCCCCGGGCUUAACCUGGGAAUUGCGCCUGAUACUGUUUAGCUAGAGUACUGUAGAGGGGAGUGGAAUUUCCGGUGUAGCGGUGAAAUGCGUAGAUAUCGGAAGGAACACCAGUGGCGAAGGCGACUUUCUGGACAGAUACUGACACUGAGGCACGAAAGCAUGGGGAGCAAACA
RNAcentral lists this ribosomal RNA (207 nucleotides) under uncultured bacterium. Its description in RNAcentral is "partial 16S ribosomal RNA". It matches the Rfam family "Bacterial small subunit ribosomal RNA", at positions 568 to 774 of the family's 1533-position model. The record is from RNAcentral.